AAAGACGAGACGUCACCAUUUUGGUGUCCGCAUCAAAUAUAAUUUACAAAAGUGAUUUUACAUACAAAAAAAACAUAUAAAAUGCAAGUAAAAUGUCUACUUUUAUGUUUCAAAUAACUUUUGUGAAAAUACAAUGACCAAAUAUGAGUUUAAUAAUGCUCCAAAGUGUAAAAUCGUCAUUCAGCGUAAUGGUCCGGACUAUGAUUUUACUAAUACAUUUUUAAAUAAACGUAUAAAAUACCAUGUUAAAAAAAAUAUUUGCUUCCUUGGCAUGUUCACAUAAGUGUUGGCUGUUUUAUAUUAAUAGGACUAUGUGUUAUUUUUUUCGUUAAAUAUUGAAACAACUAGGGGACUUUUGUCCCGAAUAUGCAGUUUGUCAGAGGUCAUUCAGUGUAACGGGAUCAGGAAACCAUUUUGAAAUUAAAUAAACAAACAAUAGUCAUCAAGCAGUCUGUGACAUCAUCAAAAGGCCCCCUGAAGACCAUCUGGUGAUUCAGCAAGAUGCCCACAAACAAAGAGAAAGUUUCUAGGCACUGGCAGAAAGUUAAUGCAGACCCAGUAGCUAGGGCAAUGCAUUUAGCAAGGAGACGAGAAAGCAACCAGAGAAGAAAGCAAGCUGCCUUGGCUGCAAAUCCUGAUCACCCGUCAAUCAGGAAUUUAUCAGAUGCUGCAGCUGAGAAGAGGCGAAAGCAAUGGCGGAAAAAUCAAAGAAAACACAGGACAGAAGCUAAACGUAUAAGGACAGUUCUGGAUCUUAUUAUACAGUAUUACCACCUGUUCAGUUAAUUUUUACGAAUAUGAUAUGCAUUAUGGAAUAAAAAUGAUUAUUAAUUUCAGCAUCUACUUCUGUGAUUUGUUAAGGAAUAAAAUGAUACAGAAUAAUAUUCAAAACAUUGCAAUAAUGGAAACAAUGACACUAUUUUUGUCAAAAAUGUCAUUCAGUGUAACAAACCAUGGUCAU
Molecule: non-coding RNA, 961 nt
Organism: Misgurnus anguillicaudatus (oriental weatherfish)
Lineage: Eukaryota; Metazoa; Chordata; Actinopteri; Cypriniformes; Cobitidae
Source: RefSeq, a predicted model, not a curated record